UCCCCAACAAACAGGACCUUCCUGGGAAGUGGGGGGAGGCUGGCUGCUGCAUAACGACUGCUCAGUUUCUGGUAAAACUCCUCAAUCUCGCUGUACUUUUUGGAGACCUGGAAUGAGAGGAGCAUGUGGUUUCUUGAGUGAAGAGUGGCAGGGAGUGCUCCUUUCUCACCCCGAACAGGGGUCCCCGAGGCCCGGCAGCCACAGGAAGCAUGCCAGGCACGCCCGUCUGCUGCCCCUCCGCCUGUCUCCCGGCCUCAAGCUCCAGUCCCUAACCCUCCUGGCCGAUAGAUUCAAACAUCUUAGUGGCCCAGAGGAAACGUGCAAUAACGGUGCCAUUCUGGGCACUGUCACAGGUCCAGGUAAAAAGAUUCGAUACAGGGAGCCCUCCUGGCCUGCAGGUGAUCAGGGCCACUGCGUUCAUUCCCAGCUUUCUGCGUAUCAGGAGGGUGAUCUCACCGGCUGGCAGGUCAUCUUCCUGCAACGCCGUGAAUCACCUGUUCUCAGCACCGACCUCAUUCUCCCGUGAACCAGCGCAGCCUUCAGCGGGCCAGCCCACACAAGCAGUGGAGACAGAUAUUUCCAAGGCUGAUUCUCUGCCCCACGUCAGGCAGGACCUUCGCACGCAGGCACCCGAGUGAGACAGGCCAGGACUCUUGCUGUCGUCAGAAGGCGGCCUUGAACACCAUCUGACUCAGAGAGGGCAGCACUCAGCUUCCCGUGGGGCCAGCGGGUGACUCCCGCCGCCUCCUCAGCCUCUCCCCACAGCUCCUGGGCAGCUAAGUCUUCGCUCCUCCACUCAUGGAGCUCCUGCUGCAUGUUUACUCUGUACACGGACACCCCAGCAGGCUCUCGGCCUCACAGUGGUUUCAGUCCAUCACCAUGUCUGUAACCCUGUGGGUGCUCAGCAAAGUCACCUGCUGUAUACACACACCAUCGGUCUGGCACCUACCCUCACUCCUAGCUCCUCUGUACUUUCCCCAUAGACUGGGCCUGUCUACCCCGACUGAAGUGUGGAUCACUCAUUCUUAUGCUCCCAGGCCCGGGCUGUGCCCACGGUGUGCCACUGGAGUGCUGGCAUGCAGGGGCUGUGGGCAUCUGACGCCCUCUGGCUCGCGGGGAUCCCUUGGUGCAGGGUGUGUCUGGAGCACACCCCUUGGCUCCAGCAACACCACCCAGAAUGCCCAGCCUGCAAAGGGUCAAGAUACCAGGAGGCAGCUGAGGGGACUUCAGAACCUCCAGUGGGGAGUCAUCUGGGACAGGUGCUCCUUGCUGUUAUCAGCACAAGAGCCUGGCUCCGGACUUUCCUGAAAACAGGCCUCAGGGAAACGCACGUGGACCCCUUCGCAGAGCGAUUGCUAUAACACAGGCUCCAACAGCAGCUGACUCCAGCCCCGCCCGCAGAGCAGGCCACGGUGGGGGCUGGGCGCCCUCUGCUGGCCCAACUGCUCCACUCAGGCUCAGACCACAGACCCAGCACACCCAGGCUUCGGGAACCUCCAUCUCCAGUGCACUGGCAGCCUCCUGUGACUCUGUAGACAUCCAGUUCUCUCCUUUCUGCCUCAGCUACAGACUCCUCUUUCUCCCCAAGAGUCUUGAACCCCUGGCAUCCUCAGGAUUUCCUUCUGAGCCCUUCUCUCUGCUUUCCACAUCUGUUCUCUGAACAACUUCAUCCACUCCCAGAUUGUUAGUAUCACCUGCAAGUUGAUGACACCGUAGCCUGCAUUUCAGGCCUGAGCCUGUACUGAGCUCCAGCCUCAUGUAUCCAUUCACAGGGCGGACACUUCACACUCCACAUGCCCCCUGGAUCUGCUCCUCUAUCAUAUUCUUUAUUUCAGUUGGAGGAAACAGUCAGCAAAUGUGGUGCAUGUUACCCCGUAAACAUUUUCAACGCUCCCUGUCCCUUCCAUACCAAGCGCAAUGGCCUGCUCCAAGCCCUUGCUUUGGGAAUGACCAUAUUGGCCAUGUAUCUGGGGUCGCUGACACCUGUUUUGUUCCUUCCAAUCCAAUGCCAUGCUCACAGCAGAUUGGCUGGUUAAAGGCAAAAGGGCCCAUGUCACUCUCCUGCUUAAAACUCUCCUUGGCUGAAGGUUAAGUCCAGGCUCCCGCACACCCUCCACAAUCUGGAUCCCGCCUGUCGCUCACCUUCAUCUUCCCCACUUCCUCCCAGGACCACACUCAACUGCGCAGAGUUCCCCACUCAACAUCCUGCUUCCAGCCUCCGUGCCUUUGCUCAGGCUGCGUCAUCUGCCAGGACACCCUUCUCGCCUCUUCUGCGGAGCCCCACCUGCUCCUCAAAACACAGCUCAACCACCACCUCUUCCAAGAAGUUUCCCCAGGGUGACUUAGGUGCCCCUUCUCUAUACCCCCAGAGCCCCCCAUGUGCUCCUGUCCCCAUCUGUAUCUGUCUCUUUAGAGGUCUGCCUCUCCAUGGACUGCGAGCGUCUGAUUCACUCCGUGUCCCUUCUGUCUAGCACGGUCUGGUACUCCAGGCCCUGAGCAAGCAACAGACAGAGAAGCACCUGCUCCGGAAGCUACUUGAACCCUGGUGGGCAGGUGUGUCUGCCCGCCCGGACCCCGGGCACCCUCGAAACAUCCUGGCCAGAGCCUCCGGCUCACCAAGAACUGGACGACAUCCUCGGGCCUGUGCUUGGCCGACUUGAACGCAGCCAGGCGGGUCACCACCAGGAUCUGGUACUCCACGUGUCCAGACAUCAUCUUGCCCCGCACCUCCUGGUGCUGAGGCACAGUCAGGUCGAGGCCAGUGUGGGCAUUCUGAAGUCGCCUGCCAGAGGAAAAGAAGGCAGGUGGGGUUCAGGGUCAAGGCAGCGGGCUUCCUGAGCAAAGUGUGGGUAGGGCCUCCGGGUGCCUGACAGGCCUGGGUGCCAGGCGACUGCUGGCUGUCCUCGGUGGUCACUGUUCCAGGCCACUCAUCCUGCCACACCAGCCCCUCAUAAGACUGGCUUCCCAGGCCUCGGGCCUGGUCCUGCCUUUGGGUUGCUCAGGGACAAAGCAGGAAACGGGAAAGGAUGGGGCUUGUUGAAAGGGAUCGACACAAACUCUGGGCAGACUGGGUGGAAGCAGCAUCCCAGUGUCUGUACUCAGACCAAGGAACAUGCCUGGGGUUGCAGAGACAACAAGGGACUGAAAUCCCAGCUGGAGACAGGCACCUCUCUUUGGCUAAUGGGCAGGAGGGCUGCUAUAGGCCCCCUGGGGCAGGGGACAGGGGAUGGGCACUGGAGGCAGGGCCCUUGUGACCCCCCCGUGGCCCAGAGAGGCAGUGACAGGCCUGUCCCUCAUGUGGGCAGUGGAUGCUGCCCCUCGAGGUGUAGAGAGGAUGCAUCGGCAAAACAUCACCACUCUUGGAGACUUGUAAAAUGCAAUUCGAAUAUACUGAAUUGUAUGACGAGCAAAGAAAUGAUGAGAUGUUUUCCUUGAAGUGGAAAAAGUUAUUAAAUACAUCCCUCAUCCUACGUAAGGUGAGACACAGACCUGUGCAGACUAACGUCCCUCACGCAAACGCCUCUGGCAGGACAUGCCAGGCACCCUCUGAGCAGCUCUGACCAUCAAGGUGAGACCUCCUGUGUGCCGGGCAGGACCCUGAAAACACAGGAGGGGCUUCUGGGAGCUUAACCUGUGUCUGGGGCAAGGCCCCUCCCUCUCUGGAAUUAUACCCCAAUCCAUCAAAUCCCCCCGGCCUGAGCACUCCUCCCACAUAGACCCCUCACAUCCCACGUUAGGCCACGUGGUCACCAGCACGACGCUGCUGUCACCAACUGAUGAAGCCUACAGUGAUGCGCCUCCUAUGCCGUGUGUGCCACCCAGUGACUGUGUGCUGUACACACAAGGAAUAUCCUUCCGCAGUGUAGGGCACCCCAGGAAACCUGCCUUCAGGUGGUGAAAAGUGGGUGAGGGCCGAAUGGGCACUGGGAGGUGCACAUGUACAGCCAGCCCUCUGCCAAUGGCACUGAGUUCACGCGGUGUGCACUCGCGGCCUGGUGUCGCCCACGGUGUCACUGUCACCAGUGUGGAGGAGGAAGGUGAGGCUGGAUGCUGCGGGGAGAUGCGCUGGGCUCUAGGAAUGUACCUUUGUGAAGUCACUUCCGCUUCCUGCAGCCCUGCGAAGGAGCUCUGCUACUCAGACCCACUUAAAAGACAGGGAAACAGACCCUAACGGGAAAGAGGCUGCCCAGGUCUCACCCGGCAUGAGGUGGAGCUGCGUUCAAUUCCAGACAGCUGCUCCAGAGCCCAGGUGGCCUCUCAUGGGGCAGGCAUGAGAAAGAAGCCAGGCAUCAUUUCUUUAGGAUCAUGAUGAAAACGAGGCACACAGGGGUGAAAGUGACAAGAAGGGCGGUGCCUGAGCUGGGGGGAGGUCCUCUCAGGGGUAGGAAGGGGAUGGAGCAGAUCCAGAUGGGCAUCUCCCACCAUCCAGCUCCCUCACAGCACCCCACAUCCAAUGGUUCUCUGACCACGCCAGAACCCACAUUCCAUAACCCCACCCCUUUUCCAGGGUCCCAUUCCAUUGGUGGAAUCCCUCUGCCUCAGGCCCAGCUCCUCUGACUUCUUACCCAGGGCUGAGCUGGCCUGGUCAAAGCCCACUUCUCCAGUUCUCUGCUUCCUUCACCCUGUGCCCAGGUGGCUCAACGUGACUGGGCACAGACAUGGUGCAAACAUGCAGCCUGGUCCCAUUGAAAUUCACGGCUGCAGACUUGAAGGCACAGCACCGCACCAGGCUUGGCAACCCUACCUCGCCCUAGAUGUGGGGUUCUCAAAGUGUGGUCCCUGGAUCAGGAUCAACAUCGCCUGGGAACUUGUAAGAAAGGCAUGUUUGGGCCUAGGGUGGCCAGCAAUCUUGUUUUUUCAGUAAGCCCUCCAGCGACUCUGAUGCACCUGGGCCUACUCCGUCACCCUCCCACUUCCCUGAAUCCACAGGAAAACUCUUUCUCUGCAGGGCCAGGUAGCAAAUAUUUCAGGCUAUGCAGGGUAUCUGGUCUCCGCUGCAGCUGCUACGGAGAGUACAUAAACAAAUGGGGGUAUGGUGGGCAGGAUGUACCCUACACCAAGCUUCUCCAACUGUAAUGUGUGUGCAACCCCCUGAGGAUCCUGUUAAUAUGCAGAUUCUGGUUCUGCAGGCCCGGGGUGGGCCUGAGAGUCAUCAUCUCUAGUAAAUUCCCAAGUGAUGUGGACACUGUUGUGUGCUGCUCCAGAGACCAUCAGAGAACAUCCUGGGCUUCACUGUCACAUGUGCCCAUCAGCCUGCAGCUGCUCCCUGAUAGCUGCCCUCUCCUGGGACUGUAGACAAACUGGCUGGCUGCUCCUAAGGGCAGCGGCUCCGAGCCCCUCCCACCUACUCAAGGACAUAGCUGCUGCAGCUCACCCCUCUUUUCCGCACCAUCGAUUUUCCUUCCUUACUGGCCCACUCGUUAGCAUGCAACCACGCUCUGACCGCUCAGGUAACAAAAGCUGUGCUUUGACCUGACAUUCCCCUUGCUCCAUUUCCCUCCUGCCCUUUCCAGCAGAACUUCUCAACAGAGGGCCCCAUAUUCAUGGGUUCCUCUCCUCCUGUUUGAUUUUGAACCUGUUCCAGCCAGACUUUGGUCCUCAUCAUGCAACAAACUGCCCACGUCCGGGUCACCUGUGACCUCCGUGUUGUUAAAUCCAAAGGUGAGUCCUCAUUUCUCCUCUGGUCUCACUUGUCAGCAGCAGCGGGCACAGUCAGCCGCUCCCUCCUUCAAGCUCUGCCUUCUCUGGCGGCUGCAGCGCCCCUUCCCUCUUGCUUCUUCUCUGCCCACCCUGGCCACUGUUGCUCAAACAGGAGGAGAGGAACUGCUUUGGAUGGUUUCCCUUGAUGGCAUCCAGAGCACCCUCCUUAGAUCUUCUUCCUCUCACUGUACCCCUCCCCAGGUGAUCUCAUCCAGGCUCCAGGCUUUAAAUACCGUUUCCGAGCCAAUGGCUCCCCAACUCCCAUCUUUAGCCCACUCUCCCCUCACGGCCAGCCCCCUUCCAGCUACCUGCCUGACAUUCCCACUGGGCUGUCAACGAGCUUCUCAAACUCCCCUGUCCACACCAAUGCUGCUCCCACCUCUCCCCAAGCCUGCUAAAUGGCAGCCUCAUUCUUUCAGCAUCUUAGGCUGAGAGACUUGCUGUGAGUCUUGACUUCUCUUUCUUGUUCUCAUAUCCAAGCAACAGCAAACCUGAAAGCUCAAUCUUCAAAAUAUAUCCACAACCCAAACAUUUCUCACCCUCAUGGCCACCAUCACCCUGGGCCAAGCUACCACUGGCUCUAUGUGGAAUCCUACGAGCAAUCCUGCUCAGCAUAGCGGUCAAAGGAUCUCUAUAAACCAUAAGUUGGGUCCUAUUGCACUUGAAAUAAAACCCGAUGGCCCCUCCACAGCCUUCAAGCCCUUUCCUGAUGAUCCCUCACUCCCAAGUUUGCCUCUUCACCCCAUCACCUAACACUCUCCCUGGGCUCACUCCACUCCAGCCAUACCAGCCUCGGGAUCCUGCUGUCCUGUCCUCCGAGUACACACUUUUCCAAGAUUUCUUUUUCAUGGCUGUCUCCCUCAGGGAGCUUGUCAGGCAUCCGCCCAGGGGCCACUCCAUCAGAAAGACAGCCCUUGACCACACCAUAGAAAAUAGCAUGCGUGCCUCCUACCACUCUGUUGCCCCCACUGUUUUGUUUUCCUUCUUAACAUGUAUCAUCCCUGACAUGUAGAUUUGCCUAUUGUGCCUGUGCCCCCAUUAAAGCUCUCUGAGAGGGACUUGUUUGUCUCCUAGAACUUGGGCCAGUACCCGGUACAGAGGAGGCUCUCAAUAAACACCUGCUGGUUGAA
Macaca mulatta (Rhesus monkey) is the source of this 6830-nucleotide non-coding RNA. NCBI's taxonomy places the organism in Eukaryota, Metazoa, Chordata, Mammalia, Primates, Cercopithecidae. The record is from RefSeq and is a predicted model, not a curated record.